CCAGACUCCUACGGGAGGCAGCAGUGGGGAAUAUUGCACAAUGGGGGGAACCCUGAUGCAGCGACGCCGCGUGGGCGAGGAAGUAUUUCGGUAUGUAAAGCCCUAUCGGCAGGGAAGAAGAAAUGACGGUACCUGAAUAAGAAGCACCGGCUAAAUACGUGCCAGCAGCCGCGGUAAUACGGAGGAUGCGAGCGUUAUCCGGAUUUAUUGGGUUUAAAGGGUGCGUAGGCGGAUCGUUAAGUCAGUGGUCAAAUUGAGGGGCUCAACCCCUUCCCGUCAUUGAAACUGGCGCUCUUGAGUGGAAGAGAAGUAUGCGGAAUGCGUGGUGUAGCGGUGAAAUGCAUAGAUAUCACGCAGAACCCCGAUUGCGAAGGCAGCAUGCCGGCUUCCGACUGACGCUGAAGCACGAAAGCGUGGGGAUCGAACAGGAUUAGAUACCCUCGUAU
Molecule: ribosomal RNA, 446 nt
Filed under: uncultured bacterium
Lineage: Bacteria
Description: bacterial SSU rRNA
Rfam family: Bacterial small subunit ribosomal RNA
Source: RNAcentral